GUCGAACGCUGGCGGCAUGUCUAAGGCAUGCAAGUCGUACGAACAACGAGAGUGCUUGCAUUCUCUGCGUGAGUGGCAAACGGGAGAGUAACAUAUUGGUAAUCUACCUUGUACUCGUGAACAACCUAGGGAAACCUUGGCUAAUACACGAUAUUGAUGGGGGGACGCAAGUCAUUCCCAUUGAAAGCUUCGGCGGUGCAAGAGGAGCCUAUACACUAUCAGCUUGUUGGUGAGGUAAAAGCUCACCAAGGCUAUGACGGUUACCGGGCGUGAGAGCGUGACCCGGCUCACUGGGACUGAGAUACUGCCCAG
This 312-nucleotide ribosomal RNA is filed under the name uncultured bacterium. RNAcentral's name for it is "bacterial SSU rRNA". It matches the Rfam family "Bacterial small subunit ribosomal RNA", at positions 28 to 334 of the family's 1533-position model. The record is from RNAcentral.